This 36-nucleotide ribosomal RNA is filed under the name Pulex irritans. Its description in RNAcentral is "partial 5.8S ribosomal RNA". The record is from RNAcentral. Lineage: Eukaryota; Metazoa; Arthropoda; Insecta; Siphonaptera; Pulicidae.
UCACCCUGACCGGUGGAUCACUGCUCGUGGGUCGAU